CACACAUGUGACACUCGUUUGCUGUCUCACCUCCUUCGGUGUCCUUGUGUCUCUUUGUUUUGUUUCCUUUGUGUCUCUCUUUGUGUUUUUCUGUAUACCUAUAUGUU
Sinocyclocheilus anshuiensis is the source of this 107-nucleotide long non-coding RNA. RefSeq lists it as uncharacterized. The record is from RefSeq and is a predicted model, not a curated record. Lineage: Eukaryota; Metazoa; Chordata; Actinopteri; Cypriniformes; Cyprinidae. The transcript is spliced from 3 exons.